This 351-nucleotide ribosomal RNA is filed under the name Triticum aestivum (bread wheat). RNAcentral's name for it is "partial small subunit ribosomal RNA". Lineage: Eukaryota; Viridiplantae; Streptophyta; Magnoliopsida; Poales; Poaceae. The record is from RNAcentral.
AUGCAAGGGCAUCACCCCAUUGCCUAUUUGAGAAAGGCUCUGGGCCCCAAGCUGAGGGCGCUGUCUACCUAUGAGAAGGAGUGCUUGGCAAUUUUGAUGGCUGUGGAUCGCUGGCGAUCAUAUUUAUUGCUCUCGCCUUUCACCAUACGGACUGAUCAUUGUAGCAUGUCUUGUUUAGAUGAGCAGCGUCUGACAACUCUGUGGCAGCAUAAAGCAUUGACCAAGCUCCUUGGUCUUUAGUAUACCAUUGAAUACCGCGUGGCUCCACAAAUCAAGCUACAAAUGCACUUUCGCGCAGAUACGUUGGAGACGUAUCAACUUGAAAUUAGUCUUGAUAACCCACAAGUGUAG